RNAcentral lists this ribosomal RNA (449 nucleotides) under uncultured bacterium. Its description in RNAcentral is "partial 16S ribosomal RNA". It matches the Rfam family "Bacterial small subunit ribosomal RNA", at positions 29 to 523 of the family's 1533-position model. The record is from RNAcentral.
AACGAACGCUGGCGGCAGGCUUAACACAUGCAAGUCGAACGCAUCCUUCGGGGUGAGUGGCAGACGGGUGAGUAACGCGUGGGAACGUGCCCUUCAGUUCGGGAUAACCCAGGGAAACUUGGGCUAAUACCGGAUACGUGCGAGAGCAGAAAGAUUUAUCGCUGAAGGAUCGGCCCGCGUCUGAUUGGCUAGUUGGUGGGGUAAUGGCCCACCAAGGCGACGCUCAGUAGCUGGGCUGAGAGGAUGAGCAGCCACAUUGGGACUGAGUCACGGCCCAGACUCCUACGGGAGGCAGCGGUGGGGAAUAUUGGACAAUGGGCGCAAGCCUGAUCCAGCCAUGCCGCGUGAGUGAUGAAGGCCGUAGGGUUGUAAAGCUCUUUCGUCCGGGACGAUAAUGACGGUACCGGAAGAAGAAGCCCCGGCUAACUUCGCGCCCGCCGCCGCCGUAA